CCUUCGGGUUGUAAAGCACUUUUAUCGGGAGCGAAAUACCAUUGGCUAAUAACCGAUGGGGCUGACGGUACCCGAGGAAUAAGCACCGGCUAACUUCGUGCCAGCAGCCGCGGUAAUACGAAGGGUGCAAGCGUUAAUCGGAAUUACUGGGCGUAAAGGGUGCGUAGGCGGUUAGUUAAGUCUGUUGUGAAAUCCCCGGGCUCAACCUGGGAAUGGCAAUGGAUACUGGCUAGCUAGAGUGUGUCAGAGGAUGGUGGAAUUUCCGGUGUAGCGGUGAAACGCGUAGAGAUCGGAAGGAACAUCAGUGGCGAAGGCGGCCAUCUGGGACAACACUGACGCUGAAGCACGAAAGCGUGGGGAGCAAACAGGAUUAGAUACCCUGGUAGUCCACGCCCUAAACGAUGCGAACUGGAUGUUGGUCUCAACUCGGAGAUCAGUGUCGAAGCUAACGCGUUAAGUUCGCCGCCUGGGGAGUACGGUCGCAAGACUGAAACUCAAAGGAAUUGACGGAAUCACUA
This 518-nucleotide ribosomal RNA is filed under the name uncultured bacterium. Its description in RNAcentral is "bacterial SSU rRNA". It matches the Rfam family "Bacterial small subunit ribosomal RNA", at positions 415 to 924 of the family's 1533-position model. The record is from RNAcentral.